Molecule: ribosomal RNA, 253 nt
Filed under: uncultured bacterium
Lineage: Bacteria
Description: partial 16S ribosomal RNA
Rfam family: Bacterial small subunit ribosomal RNA
Source: RNAcentral
UACAGAGACUGCGAGCGUUAUUCGGAUUCACUGGGCGUAAAGGGUGCGCAGGCGGCCGUGUGUGUUGGGCGUGAAAGCCCGGGGCUUAACCCCGGAAUUGCACCCAAAACUACAUGGCUAGAGCAUUGGAGAGGGUAGCAGAAUUCAUGGUGUAGCAGUGAAAUGCGUAGAUAUCAUGAGGAACACCCAUGGCGAAGGCAGCUCUCUGGCUUCACCCUGACGCUGAGGCGCGAAAGCGUGGGGAGCGAACGGG